UGUAUAAAAGUGUUAGAUGCACAUGAGAUUUUGAUUCUUAUAGGGUGGUUUAAUUCCAUAUUAUAUAA
This 68-nucleotide transfer RNA is filed under the name Pentatomidae sp. GM-2014. RNAcentral's name for it is "tRNA-Gln". Lineage: Eukaryota; Metazoa; Arthropoda; Insecta; Hemiptera; Pentatomidae. The record is from RNAcentral.